This is a long non-coding RNA of Gymnogyps californianus (California condor), 262 nucleotides long. RefSeq lists it as uncharacterized. Lineage: Eukaryota; Metazoa; Chordata; Aves; Accipitriformes; Cathartidae. The transcript is spliced from 3 exons. The record is from RefSeq and is a predicted model, not a curated record.
GAAGAUGCUUUGCAGGGGUUUCCUACCUUGUGAGGAAAAUGUGGUGACAAAAGCCCUUGCAGGAGCCUAUGAGGGGAACAGGGCAGCUCCCAGCAAUGAACCCGACUGCAGCUGUGGAGUUGGAGGAAAGACUUCUAACAGGACACUUCCAGCCUGAUGGAUUGUGUGUGGAAGAGCAUACCAAAGAUGCUGCAAGACCUCAUUCCUAGGACCUUCCUGGCAGGAGGGAUCAACCACGUGAGAGAAAAGAGGGGACAAAAAA